CGGAGCGGGCUCUCACCGUCAGCCGGGGCCAGUAAGAGGGAUCAGUAAGUAAAGGCCUUGCUGCCAAGCCUGAUGGCAAGUUCCAUCCCCAGGUCCCACAUAGUGGAAGGAGAGAACCAACUCCUGAAACUCAUGACCAAAGAGCCCAGUACGGAGAGACAGAAGGCCCAGCGGCCCUUCACAUAGGCCUUUGGUCCCUUGAGAAUUCCCUUUCUUGGGCCAGCCGGUAAAGUUGGUUGCUGUACAUCCUGAUGGCCUGAGUUAUACCUUGCCAAAACCCACGUGGUGGAAAUAGAAAACCAAACUCACCGAAGCUGUCCUCUGACCUCCACCUAUGUGCCACGGCACACACAAAAAACCAAUUCUCUUCUUGCUCUCCUGUGCUGGCGGAUAAUGUCACAUUUCUGGGAGGCUUUUUCAUGAUUUCACUACUAUAAAGAAUCAUUACAACCU
This 453-nucleotide long non-coding RNA is filed under the name Rattus norvegicus (Norway rat). Its description in RNAcentral is "long non-coding RNA NONRATT002314". The record is from RNAcentral. Lineage: Eukaryota; Metazoa; Chordata; Mammalia; Rodentia; Muridae.